GGGCGAGUGGCGGAAUUGGCAGACGCGCAGGAUUCAGGAUCCUGUGGGCAUUGCGCCCGUGGGGGUUCAAGUCCCCCCUCGCCCA
RNAcentral lists this transfer RNA (85 nucleotides) under Acidimicrobiia bacterium. RNAcentral describes it as "tRNA-Leu". It matches the Rfam family "tRNA". Rfam says of the family: Transfer RNA (tRNA) molecules are approximately 80 nucleotides in length. Their secondary structure includes four short double-helical elements and three loops (D, anti-codon, and T loops). Further hydrogen bonds mediate the characteristic L-shaped molecular structure. tRNAs have two regions of fundamental functional importance: the anti-codon, which is responsible for specific mRNA codon recognition, and the 3' end, to which the tRNAs corresponding amino acid is attached (by aminoacyl-tRNA synthetases). tRNAs cope with the degeneracy of the genetic code in two manners: having more than one tRNA (with a specific anti-codon) for a particular amino acid; and 'wobble' base-pairing, i.e. permitting non-standard base-pairing at the 3rd anti-codon position. Lineage: Bacteria; Bacillati; Actinomycetota; Acidimicrobiia. The record is from RNAcentral.